This 194-nucleotide ribosomal RNA is filed under the name uncultured bacterium. Its description in RNAcentral is "partial 16S ribosomal RNA". It matches the Rfam family "Bacterial small subunit ribosomal RNA", at positions 338 to 524 of the family's 1533-position model. The record is from RNAcentral.
CCUACGGGAGGCAGCAGUGGGGAAUAUUGGACAAUGGGCGAAAGCCUGAUCCAGCCAUGCCGCGUGUGUGAAGAAGGUCUUCGGAUUGUAAAGCACUUUAAGUUGGGAGGAAGGGCGUUAACCUAAUACGUUAGUGUUUUGACGUUACCGACAGAAUAAGCACCGGCUAACUUCGUGCCAGCAGCCGCGGUAAU